GCAAGUCGAACGCACUCUCGUUUAGAUUGAAGGAGCUUGCUCCUGAUUGAUAAACAUUUGAGUGAGUGGCGGACGGGUGAGUAACACGUGGGUAACCUGCCCUAAAGUGGGGGAUAACAUUUGGAAACAGAUGCUAAUACCGCAUAAAACCUAACACCGCAGGUGUAGGGUUGAAAGAUGGUUUCGGCUAUCACUUUAGGAUGGACCCGCGGUGCAUUAGUUAGUUGGUGAGGUAAAGGCUCACCAAGACCGUGAUGCAUAGCCGACCUGAGAGGGUAAUCGGCCACACUGGGACUGAGACACGGCCCAGACUCCUACGGGAGGCAGCAGUAGGGAAUCUUCCACAAUGGACGAAAGUCUGAUGGAGCAACGCCGCGUGAGUGAAGAAGGUUUUCGGAUCGUAAAACUCUGUUGUUGGAGAAGAAUGUAUCUGAUAGUAACUGAUCAGGUAGUGACGGUAUCCAACCAGAAAGCCACGGCUAACUACGUGCCAGCAGCCGCGGUAAUACGUAGGUGGCAAGCGUUGUCCGGAUUUAUUGGGCGUAAAGCGAGCGCAGGCGGUUUCUUAAGUCUGAUGUGAAAGCCUUCGGCUCAACCGAAGAAGUGCAUCGGAAACUGGGAAACUUGAGUGCAGAAGAGGACAGUGGAACUCCAUGUGUAGCGGUGAAAUGCGUAGAUAUAUGGAAGAACACCAGUGGCGAAGGCGGCUGUCUGGUCUGUAACUGACGCUGAGGCUCGAAAGCAUGGGUAGCAAACAGGAUUAGAUACCCUGGUAGUCCAUGCCGUAAACGAUGAGUGCUAGGUGUUGGAGGGUUUCCGCCCUUCAGUGCCGCAGCUAACGCAUUAAGCACUCCGCCUGGGGAGUACGACCGCAAGGUUGAAACUCAAAGGAAUUGACGGGGGCCCGCACAAGCGGUGGAGCAUGUGGUUUAAUUCGAAGCAACGCGAAGAACCUUACCAGGUCUUGACAUCCUUUGACCACUCUAGAGAUAGAGCUUUCCCUUCGGGGACAAAGUGACAGGUGGUGCAUGGUUGUCGUCAGCUCGUGUCGUGAGAUGUUGGGUUAAGUCCCGCAACGAGCGCAACCCUUAUUACUAGUUGCCAGCAUUUAGUUGGGCACUCUAGUGAGACUGCCGGUGACAAACCGGAGGAAGGUGGGGACGACGUCAAAUCAUCAUGCCCCUUAUGACCUGGGCUACACACGUGCUACAAUGGAUGGUACAACGAGUUGCGAGACCGCGAGGUUUAGCUAAUCUCUUAAAACCAUUCUCAGUUCGGAUUGUAGGCUGCAACUCGCCUACAUGAAGCCGGAAUCGCUAGUAAUCGCGGAUCAGCAUGCCGCGGUGAAUACGUUCCCGGGCCUU
RNAcentral lists this ribosomal RNA (1364 nucleotides) under Latilactobacillus sakei. RNAcentral describes it as "bacterial SSU rRNA". It matches the Rfam family "Bacterial small subunit ribosomal RNA", at positions 57 to 1382 of the family's 1533-position model. Lineage: Bacteria; Bacillati; Bacillota; Bacilli; Lactobacillales; Lactobacillaceae. The record is from RNAcentral.